GGCACCACAGCUUAACGAAGCGUCAAAAGAAUGGCUAUGACAAAAAGAGGCCCAGCUACGAUGGAGCAGCCGGGUUUGGCAGGGUCUCGGUUCCAGAAGCUCCAUGGAAAAUCAGAUUGCGAUAGGAAGUGGAGCGAAGUGGCUAGUACGCUGAAUUGCCUUGGUGGUGCUGUGAAAAGCGUCGAACAAUGGCGCACGGUAUGAAGGGAUCUGAAAGCCGUACAAGCAUCAAUGCCCGAGACUGGAAAAGAAAGCGGGUAAUGACAGGAAACAAUCUCAUUGAUGAGGAGCCACGCACCGAAUCGGAGAGACGAGGCAUUGCCCUUGAAGUUAAUGGCUAUGUCCAGGGCCACGAAAACGUUCCUGAAACUGUGCCUAUAGGGAAUUGCAACUUAGAUGCCUUCGUUUUUAAAUGGAGUCGAUUUGGAAAUGCAUGCAUCGGCUCUUGCGACUCAAACCUCAAAAACUUCCCGUCGAGGCAGUAAAAAAAGUCGCGUGGAAGAUGGGAGUGUUCCGCGAAUGCAUUUUUAGAAAUUGCGCAAACACAGAUGUUAGCAGAGUCGAGUGCAGCAUCCACUCAAAUUACAAGCAGGCAAUCUGAGUCUUGCAGGUAAUUUUUUUAAAUGCUAAAGAAUUUUUUAUUAGUUGUUAGCUGAAAGCAACGCGGCGACCACGCAAGCAUUGGCAAAUGCUAUGACCACAAAGGGUGAAGGAGUGUAAGCUUGUGCAACUGCCGGCGUAAUUAGUUGUAUGUAAAUAUUUAUAUUAUGGCGUUAAAGUUAUUUUUUACUCCAUUAUAAAGUAUAUUUUUACGCGUGUAACCCUGAGCAGCAGCCACAGCCUCUACCUAGAGAUGUCACUGCUGUCUUCUGUCUUCUGUUCUCGACUAAGUGACUCUUCAAAUAUAUGGGAAGAAUCCAGUUG
This 924-nucleotide long non-coding RNA is filed under the name Ceratitis capitata (Mediterranean fruit fly). RNAcentral describes it as "uncharacterized LOC111591649, transcript variant X2". Lineage: Eukaryota; Metazoa; Arthropoda; Insecta; Diptera; Tephritidae. The record is from RNAcentral.